RNAcentral lists this ribosomal RNA (301 nucleotides) under uncultured bacterium. RNAcentral's name for it is "partial 16S ribosomal RNA". It matches the Rfam family "Bacterial small subunit ribosomal RNA", at positions 509 to 807 of the family's 1533-position model. The record is from RNAcentral.
CAGCAGCCGCGGGAAUACGGGGGGCGCGAGCGUUACCCGGAUUUACUGGGCGUAAAGGGCGUGUAGGCGGCCUGGGGCGUCCCAUGUGAAAGGCCACGGCUCAACCGUGGAGGAGCGUGGGAUACGCUCAGGCUAGAGGGUGGGAGAGGGUGGUGGAAUUCCCGGAGUAGCGGUGAAAUGCGCAGAUACCGGGAGGAACGCCGAUGGCGAAGGCAGCCACCUGGUCCACUUCUGACGCUGAGGCGCGAAAGCGUGGGGAGCAAACCGGAUUAGAUACCCCGGUAGUCCCUGUCUCUUAUAC